Molecule: long non-coding RNA, 1006 nt
Organism: Penaeus monodon (black tiger shrimp)
Lineage: Eukaryota; Metazoa; Arthropoda; Malacostraca; Decapoda; Penaeidae
Exons: 3
Source: RefSeq, a predicted model, not a curated record
UAGGUCUGAGGUGUGGGUGGGAGCCCGGGACAAGAGCGGGCGAUGGCGGGGGAAGGAUGAGUGUGAAGAAUGAUAGUCAUUUGGACUUCUUUGUGCAAUCACUUUGAUGAAUACCAAACUUAAGUGUAACGCCAGUCUCCAAGUAUGACUUCAGUCUACAAGGGUGAUAUCAGAGGGCACAGAGUGUGACUUCAGUCUGCAAACACAAGGCAGGCCUUCAGGAGAGACCCCAGUUGCAUGUAGGAGAAUUCCAGAAGCCAUCUAGCAAUACCACACUCCAGCAUGAGACACAACUCAAAGGGCGUCCACCAGCAGUAGAGAACGCUGGGCUUUGGGCAUCACGUGGCCUCUUGAGGGUCAUUAAGCCUGAGGCGGGAGUUCAUCUUGAGACAUCCGUCAGUGCACCAUUUUAAGCCUAGGACAUCCAUAUGGGAGUCAGUUUCAGCCUGAGACAUACCUUCGGACACCUGAUCAGCUUGAAAUAUGAAACGUCCUGCCUCAUUUUAGGCUGAGCCCACAUUUGCUCGGAAACUCAUUUCAGUCUCUCAGAAGUCUGGGCACUUCAGUCACGCUGGCUUCUUGCCCAUCACUCCAAGGUCACCCUCAAAGAAGCAGGUCACUCCAGCGUAAAACAUGGAGACUGCAGUGUCACAUUGGACUUCAGUCUGAGAUGUCACAUGAAAGCCUGAGAUGUCACACGAAGUAGGAAUGGGUCGUAGUUACACUUGAACGGGUCUUGUCAGCCUGUCACAUUGGUUUCAUUUUCAAAUAAUUAAUUGUGUCCUUAAUCUUCAGUUGUAGGCCUAUACAAAUUAUCUAUCCGUGUGUGUGUAUCGACAUGUUUAUUGUAUUAUUAUCCAGUUAUAUUAUGCAAUUGCAACACUGUAGUUAACUGUUGCCUUUGUUUUUCAAUAUGUGCUUGUUUCAUAAAGAUCUGCCAUUUAUUAUCUCUCAAAUUCCUUUGCUAUUUUGCAUUCCAUUAUUUAUUGAGUGAAGGCAAUGCGUU